GACGAACGCUGGCGGCGUGCUUAACACAUGCAAGUCGAACGGAAAGGCCCUGCUUUUGUGGGUUUCUCGAUUGGCGAACGGGUGAGUAACACGUGUGUAUCCUGCCCUUGACUUUGGGGUAACUUCAGGAAAAUGGGGCUCUUACCGGAUAUGAGCUCCUGCACCACGGUGGGGGUUGGAAAGUUUCGGCGGUUGGGGAUGGUCUCGCGGCUUCUCCGCUAGUUAGUGGGGUAGUUGCUGACGAAGCCUUUGACGGAUAGCCGGCCUGAGAGGGGGAACGGCCACAUUGGGCCUGAGGGACGGCCCAGACGGCUACGGGAGGCAGCAGGGGAGAACAUUGCAGAAUAGGGGGAAGCCAGAGGCAGCGACGCCGCGUGCGGGAUGACGGGCUACGGGUUGUAAACCACUGUCGCCGGUGACGAAGCGUGAGUGACGGUAAUGGGUAAAGAAGCACCGGCUAACUACGUG
Molecule: ribosomal RNA, 468 nt
Filed under: uncultured bacterium
Lineage: Bacteria
Description: partial 16S ribosomal RNA
Rfam family: Bacterial small subunit ribosomal RNA
Source: RNAcentral